AAAUUAGUGUGGAAGGUUAAUGGAGGUGUGCUACUGGAUUUUACUUCUGGAAAAGAGAGUACCUCAAACAUAAUUAUUUUACUAGUUGCUUUUUGCUUGUGCAUCACCAUAUUAUAUCACUUCUCAACUACCAGUCAAUCAAACAAUCCAAGGGCAAACACUUUUUGUGCUUAAAUCUUAUGUCACAUUCAUCUCACUAUUUGAUGUAUGCUGUUUUUUUCCUUUUCUAACAUGUUUAUGCAAUCUGGAUGUGGUAACAUUGCUUAUAUUCUGCCGUUCAAGUCUUGACAUCAUGCCAUCUAGUAGAGGAUCCAUAGCUGGCCGCUUAUUACUCCAGGAGCCUAAUGUUAACCAAGAGAUAAUUGGCUGCACUACAUGUUGAUCUUCCGGUUAUUUCGUUUCUCUUUUGCCUAUGGAGGGAUAUAAAAUUACGUGCAUGUUUAACAUACAAUAUUAUAUGAUCUAUGGCCUGUUAGUGUAUUAAUUUUGUUAUAUUUCUAGACCCUUUGGUAGUCUGUCUAUGUGUAUUAGUCCUCUUCAGGCCCAUCCUCGUUGUAUGUGUACUUAUACAUUUCUUCACCGCUCUCAAUAUUUGGAAAAGCCUGGAUGUGUUUCACCAAUGGCGGACGCAAACUGUUUUAGUAGGGGUGUCUCUCAUCUUUCAAGCAGGUGCACCUAUUAGAAAAAACCAAAAAAAAAAAAAAAUUACACUGCGUGCCGGAAAUUGAGCAGUGGCCCGGGACCCUAAAUGACCUACUAAGGUCCGCCACUGCGUUUCACGAUCAUAAAGACGCAAAGCUAUUGAGUUAGACAAAGAGCUUCAGACUUGGUGAUCGUACAAUCACCCAAUUUUUUCAAAAGAUCAAGCUUCUCUCGGACCACCUUACCAACAUCUACACAUGUGCCAAAAAAAAAAAAAAAACUCUUCACUUAAUUACUUGAUUAAUGGUGUCUCCGCCAACCAUUAAUUACUUGAUUAAUGGUCUGUCCUUACAAGACUGAUCACCCCUUCUAGAAGAGCAAUAUGUAUAUAUUAUACUAAUACAUAAGAAUUGGAAGGAAAAGAAAGCAAUAUGUAUAGACAAAUGUCGCUCCAGUAAUGGUCAUGAAUACAUGCUCCAUCAUCCAUACAUCACAAACUUGUAUAUCGGUGGUUCUAAAUAUAAUUAAACAUGUCGAGAGACUCCCCUUACCUUAGAUAUUGACAUAGUAAAGGCACUCGGGCUACUCACUUUUGGACGUUCACCUCCUUGUUUUUAGUUGCAACUGUGUAGGUACUAGGUACCAAGCUAUCAAGUAAAGGGCAUUCAAUAAGUAUAUCACAACUCCUACUCCUAUUUAUUCCUAGUUCGAAAGGAUUUAAGUUUGAGGAUUUGGAAAAGGGCUACACAAAAGCUUAGUCAUGGUUUGAUCCCUAGGUUGGGUUGACAAGAACACAUUUGCCCUUUCCUUGAAAAGUGUUUGAAUUGUUGUUGUUAAAAGGUGCUAUCAAGGUCUUCCCAAAUGACAGGCACAUCAAAUUAGUUUCAAUUAAUAUGCAUAAAGUUACAUCUUA
Molecule: non-coding RNA, 1555 nt
Organism: Lactuca sativa (garden lettuce)
Lineage: Eukaryota; Viridiplantae; Streptophyta; Magnoliopsida; Asterales; Asteraceae
Source: RefSeq, a predicted model, not a curated record